ACACACAAAGUAAGAAACACCAAGAGGAGUGUUUCACAUGACUUCAUAGACGUGCCAGGUAGUGUAACAAAUGAAAUGGGAGAUACCAGGGAGAGUGUUAUGAAGUAAGAGACACAUGAGGACUCUGACACACGAAGUCAGAGGUGACAGUUGGCAUGUGACACACGAAGUCAGAGACACAAUGUAGAGUCUUAUCCAUGAAGUCAGAAAUGCUAGGGGGUGUAUGACACACAAAUUUGGAGACAACAGGUGGAGUGUGACUCGUGAAAUCAGAGAUGCCAUGGAGAGUGUAACAUGAAUAUGGAGAUUGCAGGGUGAGUGUUACAAACUCAGAGUCCUCAAGGGAGAAUGUUACACAGGAAGUCAAUGACAACAGGGAACUGUUACACACCAAGUCAGAGAGGAAGGGGUAGUGUGACAAAGUCACAGACACCAAGGGGAUUGUGACACAGGAAGUCAAAGAGGCCAGUGGAAAGUGAAACAUGAAGUCUGAGAAGUGAUGUAGAUUGUUACACAUGAAGUCAGAGAUGACAGGAGUAGUGCUACACAGGAAGCCAGAGACACAAUCAGGAAAUUGACAUGAGAAGUCUGAGAUGCCAAGGGGAGUGUAACACACGAAGUCAGUAACACAAGGGGUAGUGUUACACAGGAUGUCAGAGACACCAGGGAGUGUGUUACACACAAAGUAAGAGAUGUCACAUGGUGUGCUACACACCAAGUCAGAGACCCAAGGUGCAGUGUGACACAUGAAGUCACAGACAAUAGGGGCAGUUUUAGAAAGAAAAUCAGAGAUGCCAUGGUGAGUGUGACACACGCACUCUGAGACAACAGGCAGAUCGUGACAUACAAAGGCAGUGAUAUAAUGUAGAGUGUUACACGUGAAUUCUGAGAGAACAGGGGAAGUGUGACACAAGAAGUCAGAGGCAUAAGGAGCACUGUGACACACAAAGUCAGUGACACCAUCUAGAGUGUGAACCACAAAGUCAGAGAGGCUAACCAGACUGUUAGACAUGAAUUCUGAGACGCCAGGGGAAGUGUUACAAAUGAUGUCAAAGACAUCAGGGAAAGUGUGAUGCACAAAGUCCAAGAAACCAUGGGGAAAGUAACACAUGAGAAAAGACAAUGUGGGGAGUGUGACACACCAAGUCAUAGAGGCCACAUGGAUUGUUACACAUGAAGUCACAGAGGCAAGUGCAAGGGUUACACACGAAGCCAGAGAGGCCACAUGGAGCAUUACACACAAACUCAAAGAUGAUAGCGGGAGUAUUACAAACGAUUUAGAGAACCCAGGGGGAGUGUGAUGCACAAAGUCACACAUACAAGUGAGUGAGUGUCACACGAAGUCAGAGUCAAGAGUGACACUGUUACACACUCAGCCUGAGGAAACAUAGGGAAAUUUUACACAUGAAGUAAAAAACACCAGGGGGUGUGUUACGCAGGAUGUCAGUGAUGCAACGGGGACUGUGACACACAAAAUCAAAGACAACAGGUGGAGUGGGACACACGAAGUCAGAGAUGCCACAGGGAAUAUUGCACACGGACUCAGAGAUGCCAGGGCAUGUGUGACAAACGAAGUCACCAAUUCAGAAAGAGUGUUACAAAUGAAGUCAAAGAAAUCAGAGAUAGAGUAACGAAUGAAGUCAGUCAUGACAGGGAGAGUGUGAUACAUGAAGGCAGUGUGACACAUGAAGACAGAGAUGCCAAGGGGACUGUUACAUAAGAAAUCUAAGAAGCCAGUGGGAGUGUGAGAAAAGAAGUCAGAAACAUCAGGCAUAGAAUUACACAAGAAGUCAGAGACAUGACGGAGUAUGAGACACACCAGGUGAGAGAUGCCACAGGGAGUGUGACACAAAGUCAGAGAUGCCAGGGGAAGAGUGACACACGAAGUCACGGGUGCAAUGGGUAGUGUUACACACAAAGAGAUGCUAGGGGUUGUGCAGUUAGAGAGUGCAAAGGAAUUGUGACACAAAGUCAGAGACAUCAAGGUGAGUUGCACACAUGAAGUUAAAGAUGGCACGUGGAGUGUUACACACAAAGUUCAUGAUGCCAAGUGGAGGGUAUUACGCAUGAAGUGACACAUGAAGCCAGAGAUGCCAUGGGGAACUGUUAGACAUGCAGGAAGAACUGCCAGGUGGAGCAUUACAAGAAUUCAGAGACACCAUGAGGAGUGUGACCAUGAAAUCAGAGACACCAGAGAGAGUGGUACACACAGAGUCAGAGACUCAGGGAGAGAGUGACACACAAAUUCACAGAUGCCAAGAGGGAGAGUCACACAUCUAAUCUGAGAGGACCAGAGGUUUGUGACACAUGAAGUGAGAGUUGACAGGUGGUGUGAAACACAAGAAGUCAGAGACACCAGGGGAAGUGUUACUCACACAGUGAGAGACACCACAUAUACUGUCACAUACGAAUUCAGAACACAAGGGGGACUGUGCCACAUGAAAUCCGUUGUGACAGUGGGAGUGUAACACACAAAAUAAGAGAUGAAAUUGUGUGUUACACGCAAAAUCAGAGAUGCCAGUGGGAGUCUGACAUACAAAAUCAGUGCUGCCAUGGUGAGUAUUACUCAAGAAGUCCAAGACACCAUGGGGUGGUGUUAGCCUCAAAGGUAGAAACACAACAUGGAGUGUUAUACAUGAAUUCAGAGAUGCAGAGGGGGAUUAUACAACACAAAGUAAGAGACACCACAUGGAGAGUUACACAAAUUGUCACAGACAACACUGGGAGUGUUACACACAACGUCAGACAUGCCACAUAGAGUGCUAGACAUGAAGUUUGAAACAGCAGGUGGAGUGUUACACACAGAGUUAGUGACACCAGAUAGAGUGUGAUAAACGAAGUCAGAGAAGACAAAGGUAUUGUAACGCAUGAAGUCAGAGACAUGAAGUGGAGUGUUACACAUGAAGUCACAGACACCAGGGGCUUAGUGACACACGAAUUCAGAGAUGACAUGGGGAGUGUGACACAAAUUUAGAUACGCCACGGGGGUGUUUUAUUCACAAAAAUAACAAAAGCAGGGGUAGCGUUUCACACUAAGUCAGAGAUAACAGAGGGAGUGUGAAAGAUGAAGUCACAGACGCCAGCAGGAGUGUGAUACACAAAGUCAGAGAUGCCAGUGAGAUUGUUACACAUGAAGUCAGAGAUUCUGGGGGGGUAAGAUACACAAUGUCUUAGACACCAGGAGGAGUGUGACACAAGAACAGAAAUGAUACAUGGAAAGCUACACACGAAGUCUGAGCCAACACUGGAAAAUGUUUCACUUGAAGGGAGAAAUGCCAUGUGGAGUGUUACACAUGUAGUCAGAGAUGACAGUGGGAGUGAUAUGCAUGGUCAGAGAUGACAUGGGAUGUGUGAAACAUGAAACCACAGAAACCAGGAGGAGUAUGACACAAGAAAACAGACUCACCAGGCAGAGCCUUACAUGUGAAAUCAGAGACAACAUGGGGAGUGUGAUACAAGAAGUCAGAGAUGCCAGACGGAUUGUGACAUAUGAAGUCAGAGACUCCAGGUGGAGUGUUACAGAUGCAGUUAGAUUUUCAAGGGGGAUUGUAACACACGACCUCAUAGAUACCAAUGGGAUUAUUACCCAUGAAGUCACAGAUGCCAGGAGAGUGACACACGAAGUGAUCAACAGCAGGGGGAGUGUGACACAAGAAAUCAGAGAUGCCAGUGGGAGUGUUAUACAAGUAGUCCAUGACACCAUGGGGGUGUGUUACACACGAAGACAGAAGGGCCAUAUGGAGUAUUAAACAUGAAGUCAGACACAGCAUGGGGCGUGUACCACACAAAUUUCGAGAUGCCAGGGGUAGUGUGACACGUGAAGUCAAAGACGGCAAGUGAAGUGUUACACAGGAAUUCUGAGAUACCAGGGAAGUGUGAUGCAUGAAAUUGGAGAUGCCAGGGGAGCAUGUCACAUGAAGUCAGAGAUACAAUGAAGAAUGCUAACACGAAGUCACAGACACCAGGGUAGUGUUACACACAAAUUCAGAGACACCAAUGGGAAUUGUUACACCCAAAGUCAAAGACAUCUUUGUUGUGACUGUUACAGAGGAAGUCUGAGAUGCCAGGGGGAUUGUGACACACAAAGUCAGAGAUGCCAGUGGGAGUGUUAUAGACGAUGUCAGAGAUGCCAGGUGUUCUUUGACACAUGAAGUGACAGAUGACAGGGGGAACGUGAUACACGAAUUCAGAGACACCACGUAGGAGAGUUACACAUGAAGUCAGAGAUGCAAAAUUGGGAAUUACACAUGAAGUCAGAGACAGCAGAGUGUGUGUUAAAUGAAAUCAGACACCCCAAGUGUAGUGUUACAUAAGGAAGGUAGAGACACUAUGGGAAGUGUUACAAAUGGAGCCAGAGACACCAGGAGGGUUGUUACACAUGAAGUCAGAGAUGCCAUGUGGAGUGUUUCACACGAUGUCAGAGAUGCCAUGUGGAGAGUUACACAUUAAGCCAGAGACACCAAGUUGAGUGUUACACACAGAGCCAGAGAUGCCAAGGGGAGUGUUACACAUGAAGUUAUUCUUGGCACAGGGAGUGUGGCACAAGAACUCAGAGACACGAUAGGGAGUGUGACAUGAAGUCAGAAAGGCCACAAGGUAUAUAACACACUAAGUCAAAGACACAAGGGGGAGUGUGAUACACGAAAUGAGCGACACCUGGAGUACUGUGACACACCAAGUCAGAGAUGGCAUGCGGAUUGUUAUUCAUGAAGUCAUGAUGAAACAUGGAGUGUGACACAUGAAGUUACACAUGCCAGAGGAAGUGUGACACACAAAGUCAGAGACACCAGAAGGAGUGACACACAAAGUCAGUGAUCCCAGACGGAUUGUGACACACGAAGUCAGAGAUGCCAGAUAAAGUGUUACUGAUGAAGUCAGAGAUGCCAAGGGAGUGUUACACAAACUCAGAGAAGACAGGUGGUUUGUUACACAAGUAGUUUGAUAUUCCUGGAGGAGUGUUACACACGAAGUCAGAGACACCGUGGAGCAUGUUUCAGAGGCCCGAGGGAGUUGUACUACACAUGAGGGGAGAAAUGUCGUGAGGUUUUUUAUACAGGAAUUCAGAGAUGCCUGGGGGAGUGUUAAACACCCAGUGAAAGAUUCCAGGUUUGUUACACAAGAAGUCAUAGACACCAGAGGGAGUCUUACAAAGGAACUCAGAGAUGCCAUGGUGAGUGUUACACAUGCAGUCCGAGAUGCUAGGCAUCAUUGACACAUGAAGGCAGAGACAUAACAUGGAGUGUUACACAUGAAUUCUGAGAUGCCAGUGAGAGUAUAACACAUGAAGUGAGAGACGCCAGGGGGAGUGUGAAACAUGAAGUCAGAGGCGCCAAGAGGAAUUUGGUGCCCCAAGUAAAAGACGCCAGGGAGUGUUUAACACACAAUAUCAGAGAUGACAUCAGGAGAGUUACACACAAAGUCAGAGACGCCAGGGGGAGUGUUAUGCAGGAACUCAGAGAGACUCCACAGAAUGUGACACACGAAGUCAGAGACAAUAGGUAGAGUGUGAAACUUAAAGUAUGAGACAGGUUAAGAAUGUUACACAUUAAGUCAGAGACACAAGCAGGAGAGUGACACACGAAGUCAGAUACAACAUGGGGAAUGUGACACAUGAAAUCAAAGACUCCAGGGGGAGUUUUAUACAUGAUGUCAGAGAUGAGAGGGGUAUUGUAUCACACAAUGACAGACAACAUCGGGUGUGUGAGACCCAAAGUCAGAUUUGAAAUUUGGGGUGUGACACAUGGAGUCAGUGAUGCCAUAGUGAGUGUGAGGCACAGAGUCAGAGACAACAGCUGGAGUGUUUCAGAAAAGUCACUGACUACAAGGGGAGUGUUACACAUGAAUCAGAGACACCAGCGCAAGUGUUCCACAGGAUGCCAGAGAUUCCACAGGGAAUGUGACACAUGAAAUCAAAGAUGACAUGUAUAGUGGGACUCAGACUCAGAGAUGCAUCAGGGAAAGAUACACAGGCAGUCAGAGAUGACAUAGGGGAGUGUGACACAUGAAGUAUGAGACAACAGGGAGCAUGUGAUGCACAAAGUCAAAGAUGCCAAUGGGUGGUGUUAAGCAAAAAGCCAAAGGAAACAGGGAGAGUGUCAAACAAAAAGUUGGAGGUGCCACGUGGAGUGUUAUACACAAACUCUGAGAAGCCAGUGGCAUUCUUACAUAUGAUGUUAUAGAUGACAGGGGAAUGUGACACAGAUACUCAGAGACACCAAGGGAGUGUGACACAUGGAGUCAGAGGCACCACAGGUUGUGUUACAUGCAAAGUCAGAGGCACCAGGGAGCGUGUGAUACACAAAGUCAGGGAUGCCAGGCAGAGUGUGACUCAUGACCUCAGAGAUGGCAUGUGGAUUGUUAUACACAAAGUCAAAGAUACCUGGGGAAUUGUGAUACAAAAAGUCACAGACUCAAGGGGGAGUGUAACACACAAAUUCAUAGAUGCCAGAGGGAUUGCGAUCCACGUAGACAGAGAUGCCAGGUGGACUGUUAUAAACAAAGUGAGAGAUGCCAGCGGGAGUGUAACACACACUCAGAAACAAAAGGGGGAUUAUUAUACAUGAAGUCUGAGAAAACAGGGGAGUGUGACACACGAAUUCAGAAAUGCCAGGGGCAGUGUGGCACAGGAAGUUAGAGACAUUAUGGAGUGUGUGAAAGAGGAAGUCAUAGAUGCCACAGAAUUGUACACACUAAGUCAGAGAAGAUAGGUGGAGUGUCGCACAUGAAGUCAGAGAAUAAAAGAGAAGUGUUACACAUGAUGACAUAUACAUCAGGAGGUGUGUUAAGCAUGAAGUCAAAGAUGCCAUGUGGAGUAUUACACACGAUGUAAGAGAAACCAGGUGGAGUGUCACACGAAGUCAGAGACGCCACACAAAGUGUGACACAAGUCAAAGAUACAAUUGGGAGUGUUACAUAUGAUGGUAAAGAGGGCAGGGAGAUUGUGACACAUGUAGUCAGAGAAACAAGGGGAAGUGUGACACAUGAAGUCACAGGUACCAGGAGGAGUGUGACAGACCAAGUCAGAGACACCAUAGGGAGUGUGACACACAAAGCCAGAGAUGCCAGGUGGAAUUUUACCCAUGACAUCAGACAUGCAAAGGAGAGUGUUACAUAAGAACUCAGAGGCAAAGAGGAAUUGUUACAACAAACCUAAGAAGUUAGGGUGUCUGAGACAGGAAGUUAGUGUAGGGGAGGAAGACAUUUCCUCUUCCCAAAUGGGGGUUCAUCUGGCCGGAGAAUGAAUUAAAUUCACAUGAGAAAGAAUAGCAAGAGAAAAUUAAACAAAGCUUUAUGAGGAACCAUGGCCCAGGGCCUUUCUUCCCAAAGGAAGAAAGGGCACCGAAGAACUGGGGUGCACAGAGUGGUUAGAUACCCCUAAAUGGGGUGUUUCACAUGUGAUUGAAAUGUCGCUCCCACAAUAGUCACAAGAUUGCCCUGUCAGCACAGUGCUUGAUGGACACAGCAGGUAGUGGUCUGCUAUCUCAGUGGGCGUAGCAGGAGGAAAGUCUAUCCUCUGGAGCUGGGCGGUCACAAGUGAGCGCAACAAUCAGUUCCUAGCCUAAGGAAAGAUGCUUAAUCCUUAAAGAAAUGCCAACGUUGGAGGGGGAGGGAAGUCAGUUACAGGAGGUUACCAGAGAAGCACAAUAAAAUGCAGAUUUAAGUCCUUGCCUUUGGUAUUGAUUAAGAGUUUCUAGAGAGAAGAUCAUCUCCUUUCAUCUUCCUGGUACAGAGAGUGGGGGCACCUUUUGCAGAUAGAGAUUUACCUUACAAAUGUAAAUGUGUCCUAACGAAGGGCAAAUUCCAUUCCUCAGAGCCUCCUUCCCUGUCCCAGUUUAUCAAAAUCAAUCAGCCUCAAAUAAUCCUGAUGCCAAAGAGACAUAUCUUGGGGUGGCCAAUUUCAGGUCCCCACAGUCCCGCCUUUGAAACUUUAAGUUUCACAAUCCAGAAGCUGAGUGGUAGAUUGUUUCAUCUCACUGAACACAUUUCUUAGUCCUGGUAAUAGAUCAGUCCAGUUAAAGUCAUUUUAGAGGGAGGCGAUGCAGGUGGGCUCCCAAAGGUAGUCCUAUAUUUUGGAAACAAGCAAUCAGGUAUUUAAUAAGUAUUUCUAUGGAAAUAAAAGAAAAACAAGGUUAAUGGUUGGAGCAAAUUAUAAACUAGUUCCUGAGUCCAGGAGACAGCCAGUUAAGACGACUUCUAGGUGUCAGAGUGAAGCAUCUUUAGCAGCUUGAAAUGUCUCUGAUGAUGUCAUCGGGCAAUCAGGUAUCUUUCUGAGUGGCUUACAGGAUACACAGCAACAGACAGGAAUCUCUGUUAAGUUUCUAUCAAGUUGUCCAGCUUUAGUUAGCAAGGCUUCAUGAAAAAGUGCAGGUUCAAUUCUCAAUGAUUCCAAAUGAAAAUGAGGAAAAGAUUAAAAACAUUAGUUUGGAGAUGUGUAACCAGGUAUUUCAGCAGAUGAAUUCAGGAUCCAGUCCAGUUCACAGGUAGAAAAAAAAAAAUCUCAAAGAAAAUUAACAGAACUAGGAUCUAACAUCCACAAAUAUGCCUUAUAGUUUUUCACUGAAACAUAGUUCUUCUCUCUAAAAUCACUCUCAUUUUUUUUUUUACCAAAGACAGCCAAAUUAAGACUAACUGGUUUGCAAAAUAAGUUUAGUUUCAAGAAACUUGGCCCAAUUAUUUACAUAAGUGCAGCAAGAAUAGCAAUUGAUCAUAUAGGCUCUUUAAUCUGCUUUGCUGGAAUUCUUUAUGAGGAAUCUCGGAUUGAACUGUAAAGGCCUCUCGAGGCCAGCAAAGCCAAGCUAAGGACUUGCCAUCAGAUUUUGCCUGCAGUACCUACAGAUUUGGGUGGAUUCCUCUCUUCUUGAGGUCCCCCAAAAUAUUCCAAGUUUCCUUAUAUCUGCCAGAUAAGCAAGCUUCCUUACUUACCAGGUAAGAUUGCUGGAAUCUCUGUAAACAAGGUACCAGUCCCAUAUUUCCAAGUGGCUUUAUUUCCAGAAAGUCAACCUUAUUCCUCAAAGGCAGUAUUGUCAUAUCUGAGCCUGUAUGUUUCAAAUAUGACAUUCCAGUCAAAGCUUUGGCAAGAUAACCAAUGUCCUGUUAUAAGGAGAACAGAUUCUUAUUGAACUUCUGCAAAUAACUAUAUUGCCAUGAAAUAACCAUACUCACAAAGAGUUUCCAAAUUCUGGAGGGAUCAGGUAGGGGGAAAAACAUAAAUGUUUCAGUUUUGCUCACAAAAGUAUAAUUUCACCAAA
Molecule: long non-coding RNA, 9248 nt
Organism: Equus caballus (horse)
Lineage: Eukaryota; Metazoa; Chordata; Mammalia; Perissodactyla; Equidae
Source: Ensembl